GACGAACGCUGGCGGCGUGCUUAACACAUGCAAGUCGAACGGAAAGGCCCUGCUUUUGUGGGGUGCUCGAGUGGCGAACGGGUGAGUAACACGUGAGUAACCUGCCCUUGACUUUGGGAUAACUUCAGGAAACUGGGGCUAAUACCGGAUAGGAGCUCCUGCUGCAUGGUGGGGGUUGGAAAGUUUCGGCGGUUGGGGAUGGACUCGCGGCUUAUCAGCUUGUUGGUGGGGUAGUGGCUUACCAAGGCUUUGACGGGUAGCCGGCCUGAGAGGGUGACCGGCAACAUUGGGACUGAGAUACGGCCCAGACUCCUACGGGAGGCAGCAGUGGGGAAUAUUGCACAAUGGGCGGAAGCCUGAUGCAGCAACGCCGCGUGCGGGAUGACGGCCUUCGGGUUGUAAACCGCUUUCGCCUGUGACGAAGCGUGAGUGGCGGUAAUGGGUAAAGAAGCACCGGCUAACUACGUG
Molecule: ribosomal RNA, 468 nt
Filed under: uncultured bacterium
Lineage: Bacteria
Description: partial 16S ribosomal RNA
Rfam family: Bacterial small subunit ribosomal RNA
Source: RNAcentral